This is a long non-coding RNA of Triticum aestivum (bread wheat), 3212 nucleotides long. RefSeq lists it as uncharacterized. The transcript has 2 exons. The record is from RefSeq and is a predicted model, not a curated record. NCBI's taxonomy places the organism in Eukaryota, Viridiplantae, Streptophyta, Magnoliopsida, Poales, Poaceae.
ACAUGCGUGUGCGCAUACAAAAAGUGACACACACACGCACGCACGCACACACACACGCACACAAGAAAAACUGAAAAAUAAAAAUAAUAGAAGAGACAUAGAAAACACAUUCAGACUUUAUAUGUUGACACGAUAGAGAAAUUCAUAAAAAUAUCUUCAAAUUCAAACUAAAACAAGCUUGCCGGAUUUAUCUUAAUUAUUCUUCACUAGCAUGCUCCAUUAAUGCUCUCAGCAGCCGCGUCACCCAACCAGAUGGAAACGCGCGGACGGACGGUCGGCCCGACCCUUUUUCCUCGCACGGUCGCGCCAGAUGGGUGAGAAGCCCACUUCGUUAUCCAUUUCUCUUCCACACCCUGACGGCAACCACCACUUCCCAACUCACGCAACCACCACUCUCGAUUCAACCCGACCAGAUCGCCGACGAGGGUUUGUGCGGCGGCCUGCCUGUGAAUCUCGGCGGCAUGGCGAUAGAUCGAAAAGCGGUGGCCCUCGAGGAUGCGGGGCGCGGAAGGGGGAGGAGCAGAGCCGUCGCAGUGCUGUUCGAGGAGGCUGGGCGUGGAGGAAGAAAGCAUCUGCGGCGCUGACGCCGACGCUACCGCGCUUCACGGACGUCAACCAGGAGGUGGACGAGGCCCCGCGGCUCGCAGCCGAGCUGUUCGCCGACGGGGACGCCGUCUUCUUCGUGCGGCGCCGAUGGUGAUCUACUCGCCGGGAUUCACCCCGAGCCCAAGCUGCUCGUCGGCGGGGACGCCGUCUUCCUCGUGCGGCGCCGAUGGGGAACUACUUGCUGGGAAGUAUUCCGCCGCCUCCCAAUAGCCGCCGAGCUUUGUUCAUGCGUAUGUGCCGGAGGCCCUCUGGAGACCGCUCCUCUGCUUCGUGCUCCUCCGGCACCCGAUGCCAUGGAACUGAACUCAAGGUCUCAUUCCCUUACUACCCAUGUGUUUUUUUCCUCCCUCGUAAUACGUGUGUUGUGUGUUCAUGCAUACGGGAGCUGAGCCAUGAUUUUUGUUGGAUCAAUCAUCUGAGUACAGCUUUCAACCUGUAAAUUUUCCUUUUGGCUUUAGAAUUGGUGUGGAUAAUUUGUAGUUGCCAUGGGCAUUUUCCAUUGAUGGCAAGUUUACAUGUUUGAUAUGCGCCCCCACUGUAUUUGUGCCAUGUUGUUUGCUUAGGGAGAACAAUUUUUGCCAUGGCACAUUCAUACAGUUUGCCAUCUUUGCAAAGAAGAGCUGUUCUGGUCAACCAUCUUACAGUUUUCAGAGGUGUCAUGGCAAUUUUCAACCCACAUUUACCAUGGUAAAUUCCAAUCUGUAGGUUUGGUUUAGCACAGGUACAAUCUUUAGCUGCGCUGGACCAAUCCCGGUACGCACUGACGGCAGAUGGAUUUGUAACACUUUUUGCCAAUGCAAAAUUUGCAAGUAACAUGGCAACUUAUAGUAAUUUUUAUCUAAAAAACAUGUGUGAAUUUUCCAUGGCAAAAAAAUAUUCAUCUAAAAGAAAGAAAUUUGCCAUGGGCCGUAUAGUGAAUUUGCCAUGGCAAAAUUCCAAAAUAAUAUGGUAAAUUUUAGUAUUUUUUAUCAAAAAAGUGCGUGAAUUUGCCAUGGCAAAAUUAUUUGUCUAGAAGAAAGAAAUUUGUCAUGGCAACAUUUUAAUGACUUUUUGCCUUCAUAAAAAAUUGUUUUUUGCCAUGGCAAGUGUUGUUUUUUUGGUGACAAAUCCAUUUGUUUGCCAUGACAAUUUUACCUUUUUGACAUGGUAAAUUUACCUAUAUUGCCACGGCAAUAUAGGUCCUUCAAAUGAAAAAUAAAGAUGGCAAAUUUUUGUUUUAUUUUGGCAUGGCAAUUUUUGCUAUAUUGGCAUGGCAAAUUUAUCUUUAACGCCAUGGUAAUUUCUUUUUAACCUCAUUUUUUCUGUGAAAAAUUUACUUUCUAUAUUGCCAUGACAACUUUUACCUUUUUGACAUGGCAAGUUUACCUAUAUUGCCACAGCAAUAUAGGUCCUUCAAAUGGAAAAAAUAAAGGAUGUCAAUUUUUUCUUUCAAUUUGCCAUGGCAAUUUUUCCUAUAUUGACAUGGAAAAUUUAUCUAUAACACCAUGGCAAUUUGUGUUUUAACCUCUUUCUUUUCUCUGUGAAAAUUUACUUUUCAUUUUGCCAUGGCAUUUUUUACCUUUUUUAACAUGGCAAGUUUACCUAUAUUGCCACGACAAGUCUUAACCAUUACAUACAUGUCAAUAUAAUCGCUAUGUCAAUUUUUUUCAUGCCAAAUUAACUUGAUGGUACUAUGGCAAUUUACUCUAAUUUUCUUGAAAUUUUACUUUACAUAUGAUCCAUGGCAAUUUUCACUUUUUUCAUCUUUCAUGGGGACUGCGGUAAAUUACUUUAAGAAACAUGGCUAUUACUACCCAAAAAAUAUAUGGUACACUUUUUGUGUGUGUUAUACAUGAUGAUUUUUUUAUACACAUUCUUUUUGUGUCUUCAUGCAUAUAUUAAAAGUGGCUAGGGAACGAUGGAGCCACGGUGGCUGAGAACGAGAGUAUGACGACAGUGCUAAUUCCUCUAUGCCUCUCCAUGUUGUGUUGUGGCUCUCCAAAACGGGGGAGAGGCUCGGAGUUGUGGCCAAGCAAUGAAUUGGUUCAGACGUCUAUAGCUUGAACUCUUUUUGUGUGUGUGUGUGGGAGAUCUUGAACUACGAUGUGUGCACAUUUAGUUUGUACUCAUGCCCUAUGAGCUUGUACGAAUUAACCAAAAAAACUCUUUAGCAAAUAACAGAACUGAAUAGAGCUAUAGUCGUAGCAAGUUGUUGUGCAAAGAUUGAUUUUAUAGUGCAAUCUCUGGACAGUGUUAGAUAAGUAUGUUUCUAUCUGGUGACUUGGUUAGAAUUAUGUUUACUCAUGAUUAUUUUGCAUAUACCAAGGUAGUUGAGCCUUCAAGCUCUAUUCCACCGGGCCCUCAUAAUCUAACCUCUCCCUCGUUCAUUUCAUCGUGUUUUUCAGCUUUGCAUCGCACUUCUUUGACAAAUUGGAGAGCAGAAGUCUUGCCAAUUACCAUUGCCUUAGCUUGCUUGCCAUAAGAACCUCUCAUAGGAAAAAUAGGUGGAUGCCAUACUUAUUUGUAGUACUGCUCAUGAUACAACGUUGUUCACCUCAUCAUCAUUUUUUUCUUAGAAGAGCUCACCGUUGUGUUUUUCCCAAUAAAAUGCAUCUUGGGCACCAAUA